This 497-nucleotide ribosomal RNA is filed under the name uncultured bacterium. Its description in RNAcentral is "partial 16S ribosomal RNA". It matches the Rfam family "Bacterial small subunit ribosomal RNA", at positions 28 to 507 of the family's 1533-position model. The record is from RNAcentral.
GAUGAACGCUGGCGGCGUGCCUAAUACAUGCAAGUCGAGCGAACGGACGAGAAGCUUGCUUCCCUGAUGUUAGCGGCGGACGGGUGAGUAACACGUGGAUAACCUACCUAUAAGACUGGGAUAACUUCGGGAAACCGGAGCUAAUACCGGAUCAUAUUUUGAACCGCAUGGUUCAAAAGUGAAAGACGGUCUUGCUGUCACUUAUAGAUGGAUCCGCGCUGCAUUAGCUAGUUGGUAAGGUAACGGCUUACCAAGGCGACGAUGCAUAGCCGACCUGAGAGGGUGAGCGGCCACACUGGAACUGAGACACGGUCCAGACUCCUACGGGAGGCAGCAGUGGGGAAUCUUCGGCAAUGGGCGAAAGCCUGACGGAGCAACGCCGCGUGAGUGAUGAAGGUCUUCGGGUCGUAAAACUCUGUUAUUAGGGAAGAACAUAUGUAUAAGUAACUGUGCACAUCUUGACGGUACCUAAUCAGAAAGCCACGGCUAACUACGUG